AUUGAACGCUGGCGGCAUGCUUUACACAUGCAAGUCGAACGGUAACAGGUUAAGCUGACGAGUGGCGAACGGGUGAGUAAUGCAUCGGAACGUGCCCGAUCGUGGGGGAUAACGCAGCGAAAGCUGCGCUAAUACCGCAUACGAUCUGAGGAUGAAAGCGGGGGACCGUAAGGCCUCGCGCGAUCGGCGACGCCGAUGUCAGAUUAGGUAGUUGGUGGGGUAAAGGCCAACAAAGCCGACGAGCUGUAGCUGGUCUGAGAGGUCGACCAGCCAAACUGGGACUGGGACACGGCCCAGAUUCCUACGGGAGGAAGCAGUGGGGAAUUUUGGACAAUGGCGAAAGCCUGAUCCAGCAAUGCCGCGUGCAGGAAGAAGGCCUUCGGGUUGUAAACUGCUUUUGUACGGAGCGAAAAGGUCCUUUCUAAUACAAGGGGCUAAUGACGGUACCGUAAGAAUAAGCACCGGCUAACUCCGUGCCAGCCGCCGCCGUAA
RNAcentral lists this ribosomal RNA (492 nucleotides) under uncultured bacterium. RNAcentral describes it as "partial 16S ribosomal RNA". It matches the Rfam family "Bacterial small subunit ribosomal RNA", at positions 30 to 523 of the family's 1533-position model. The record is from RNAcentral.